GGGGUCGUAUCCAAGAUAGUUUUCCACUCUAUACCUCUCUUUUGAGUUCAAUCUUGGUAAGGUCAAGGACUGUCCUGUGCUGGGGUUACAUACCACCGUGACAAUCACUGCUUUGUUCUUGCCCUGGUUAGCUCCAUAACAGAAGAAGCCAUUGGUACAACCAAAUAAGCCAUAGGAAGUUGGGAAACGCGCGAGGUGAUUGGCGGCUACAACAUGCGAGUUGUCUUCCGGAUUUUCAGGCUGAGACGACGAGAGGAAGUGAAUCUCGUGGCGGUAAUCAGAGCAGGCGAAAAGAAGCUGAGGGUGAGCGCAAGAUUGGGUCAAGAAGGAGUCUGUGAAAUCUUGGCUGCGGAGCACGGAGGACCAGAGCUUGCAUACGCAACGACAUGUCGCUAUAGACUUCAACGGCAGCCUCAAGAAUAUCUCUGUAACGACCUCGACAGGAAGCGUCAGUGAGUUUCGAUCAAGUCUGGUCGUCGAUCGCGUAACGCGCUGAGAAAUGCUUAGACCACCCUUCUGCCGCUUCAUAGCGAGAUACUUUUAGAACUUCUCUUACUACCCUGAAACAAAAUACAGUUAGCCACAGAUUCUACCAGAUAAACGAUCAAUGUCGAUUUUACAAAUUGCAGAAGAACGAACAUGAGGCACAUUAAUGUUUUCAGCAUUUCUUACCUCGAAUUCACUGGGAGACACUAGGUAAGAACAAUCGUAAAUCGUAGUUAGGGUUUAGAACUAUCCCCAAAAUCAUUUGUCGGGAAUGAUAAAAGAGAGUGAAGUAAUUUUAUAUGGGCCUUUUGUGGGCUUACACAAUAUUUAAAAUGAUGGGUUUACGAUGGGUCUGACCUGAAUUUUAUUAUAAACGUUAAAAACUACAAUGGUCUGGACAAACCAGUAACAUCCGCUGGCCAAAUAAACCGAAUCAGAAAACCCGAACCGAACUCGAUCCGGUAAAAAUAAAUCCGAACCGAUCCGAAGCCGACAUACCGAAAAAAUUUUGUUUUAUAGUAUUUCGGGUUAUGGGUAUUAUUCGAACCGAACCUGAAUUUAAAUGGAAAUAUCCGAUAGAACCUGAAAAAUUCAAAAUAAAAAAAAAAGUUUGUAUCAAACAUUCUCAAUUCCUAAUAUGUAUCUGAAAUAAAAUAAAAUAAAAUAUUAUUGAACAUCUAAAAUAGUUAUUUAUUACAUGAAGAUUGAUGGUUGAAGGUGUCGGUUGAAACUUGAAGGUUUUUAGAUUUUGGUUUUGUUUUCGAUGAAUAAUGUUUCUUAUUUUAUAUAUUUAUCUUUCGUUUGAUUUUGAAUGAUCAUAUUGGAUGUUCCUUUCUUAUUUUUGAAUCGAUUUUGCUUAUGUUUUAGUUACAAAAUAGGUACAAAACGGGUAUUAUAAAACCAAAUAACCGAUUUUACUUAUGUUUUUGGUUACAAAUAGAUACAAAUCAUGUAUUUUUAAACCGAAGAACCGAUUGGGACCUGAAUCCAAAUUCUUUGAAAAUUAACUAACCCCAACCCGAACUUGAACCCGUCCCAAACCAAACUUUCAUAUAACCCGAAUGAGACUGAUUUAGAUAAAUCUAAAAAACUAAGACCCGAUUAGACAAAACCGAAAUCCCAUUGGAACCCAAAUGCCCAUGUCUAAUUUGUCUCAUCUCAUGGAUCUAGAAAAUCAUUCUCUCUCUCUAUCACAGCACUGAAAGAUGACAUUCAAAAGCUUCUCAGUUUUGGAUUAAUAUUUAACUAUUUACAGCAUUUGUAACAAGAAGAUUGUCUCUCAUCCCCUGGUUGAAUCUUCUACAAGAGGUUGAUUUUCAAACUAAGACGCUAGAAAAAAAAAUGAAAACUACGUUUGAAAUGCUUAAAGAAACUUCACAUUCUCAACAUAGUUGAGGUAGGUGUUUAGCCUCUUACCCUGAAACGCCUCCAUUCCUUGGAUUCCAACUUCUCUGAUCGUCUUGCUCUUGACAUUGUAGUAGAUGACACAGGAAGACACUCUUUGGAAACAGGGGGUCAAAACAAUUUCAUCUACACCAACCAUUCCAGCAAUAUCCAAUCUAUCCUCAACUACACCCUUCCAAACUGGUGGUAAUACGUAAACAUGCCUGGACCACUCAUGUUUUGCAACGUCUCGAAGAACCCACAGCUCAAAUCUUUUACAUGAUCGAGUAACAUAAUAAUCUUCCGACGACAUAAGAAAACCUAAUCUGCCAUUGUAGUUUGUCAGAGUUGUUGAAGGAUAUCUAUUGAAACGCCUCAAGAGGUUCACAAAGCUGAACUUCUCAGUCCUCAAAUCAAAACAAACUACCAUAGAUUCCACCGAAUAUCUGAUUUCUUUAGCUAUAUAGUACAAAACGCCACUGAUGCAGAUCCACUUACCAGAAGAAUAAUGUCGUAUGCAACAUUCGACCAACCUCCACGACAGUUUCUUGGUUCCUAAUGUCAGAACAUGAAACUCCUUACCAUCAUCACAUGCAGACAACACCUUGAACUGUUUUGCAAUGGGGUCAUAUCCAAGAUAGCUUUCCGCUUCAACCCUGAUCCUCGUUUUCAAUCUUGGUAAGGUCAAGGACUGUCCUGUGCUGGGGUUACAUAUCACCGUGACAAUCCAUCGAUUAUUCCACCCCUUCAAGAUCCGUUCAGCCCCAUAACAGAAGAAGCCAUUGGUACAACCAAACAGUUUAUAGUAACGUGGGGAACGUGCAAUAUGAUUGGUGGCUACGACAUACGAGUUGUCUUCAAGAUUUUCAGGCUGAGGCGACGAGAAGAAGUGUAUCUCGCUGCGACCUUCGCAUGCAAAGAGAAGCUGAGGACGACGAGCACAAGAUUUGGUCAAGAACAGCUCUGUGAAAUCUUGACUGCGGAUCACGGAGGACCAGAGCUUGCAUACGCAAUGGCAUCUCGCUAUGGACUUCGACGGCAACCUCGAGAGUAUCUCUGUAACAACCUCAACAGGAAGCGUCAAUGAGUUACGAUCAAGCGUGGUCGUUGAUCGCGUAACGCGGCGAGAAAUGCUUAGACCACCCUUCAUGAAGGAGUAUGUUCCCUUACGGACGCUCU
Molecule: long non-coding RNA, 3048 nt
Filed under: Brassica rapa (field mustard)
Lineage: Eukaryota; Viridiplantae; Streptophyta; Magnoliopsida; Brassicales; Brassicaceae
Description: long non-coding RNA (BRAP_LNC003053)
Source: RNAcentral